AACGUUGAAAAAACCUCCAUCUCUGUUAUAAUAAACGUGCCGGUUUUCCGGCUAUGACGCUACACGUUGGUGCGGAAUAGACGCAGUGGACCCGGGGGCAGUACCCGGCGGCUCCACCACUUGAGAGAAGGGCUUUUGAAAGGCGCUCUCAGGCGGCGGGGCCGACACAGGAUCGACACGCGUAAUAAAGGCAUUGGACGGUGUCCGGUAUUGUAUCCGCCGUUAUCGGGCUAAAUUUAUAAAUGCAAACGAUAACUUUGCGUUCGUAGCCGCUAACGACAAC
Molecule: transfer-messenger RNA, 283 nt
Filed under: Alphaproteobacteria bacterium
Lineage: Bacteria; Pseudomonadati; Pseudomonadota; Alphaproteobacteria
Description: partial transfer-messenger RNA
Rfam family: Alphaproteobacteria transfer-messenger RNA
About the family: Bacterial tmRNA, also known as 10Sa RNA or SsrA, is named for its dual tRNA and mRNA-like properties.
Source: RNAcentral